UACGUAAGGGGCAAGCGUUGUCCGGAUUUAUUGGGCGUAAAGCGCGUGUAGGCGGCCCUGCAAGUCGGAUGUGAAAUCCCACGGCUCAACCGUGGAAGUGCAUUCGAAACUGCAGGGCUAGAGUCCUGGAGAGGAAGGUGGAAUGCUUGGUGUAGAGGUGAAAUUCGUAGAUAUCAAGCGGAACACCGGUGGCGAAGGCGGCCUUCUGGACAGUGACUGACGCUGAGACGCGAAAGCGUGGGGAGCAAACAGG
RNAcentral lists this ribosomal RNA (253 nucleotides) under uncultured bacterium. RNAcentral describes it as "partial 16S ribosomal RNA". It matches the Rfam family "Bacterial small subunit ribosomal RNA", at positions 524 to 776 of the family's 1533-position model. The record is from RNAcentral.